GGAUGUGAGGGCGAUCUGGCUGUGACAUCUGUCACCCUAUUGAUCACCAGGGUUGAUUCUGCUCAACUGGCUGGCUAGGUGGGUGUCCCCUCCCUCGGUCACCGCUCCGUGUACCUGCUUCCUGAAGCUGCGCUCGGUCGAAGAGGACGGCCUUCCCCGAAUAGAGAUGGACCGGUCUUUGGUUGAGGGUAUACGAGUAGGCGCUCCCCUGCGAGAACCCCCAAACAGGCUCUCGAGAUCCAAAUGAGCUAUUUUGCCAUCCCUAAAAUAAAUUUUAUAGAGACCAGGUGGGUAGGUCAUCU
RNAcentral lists this small nuclear RNA (302 nucleotides) under Erinaceus europaeus (western European hedgehog). Its description in RNAcentral is "7SK RNA (ENSEEUG00000020150.1)". It matches the Rfam family "7SK RNA", at positions 1 to 277 of the family's 331-position model. Rfam says of the family: 7SK was discovered as an abundant small nuclear RNA in the mid-70s but a possible function has only recently been suggested. Two independent studies have found that 7SK RNA binds the CDK9/cyclin T complex (known as elongation factor P-TEFb). P-TEFb activates transcription by phosphorylating the C-terminal domain of RNA polymerase II. The record is from Rfam by way of RNAcentral. Lineage: Eukaryota; Metazoa; Chordata; Mammalia; Eulipotyphla; Erinaceidae.